Molecule: ribosomal RNA, 308 nt
Filed under: Megalamphodus erythrostigmus (bleeding-heart tetra)
Lineage: Eukaryota; Metazoa; Chordata; Actinopteri; Characiformes; Acestrorhamphidae
Description: Hyphessobrycon erythrostigma (bleeding-heart tetra) partial small subunit ribosomal RNA
Rfam family: Bacterial small subunit ribosomal RNA
Source: RNAcentral
UCCGCCAGGGUACUACAAGCGUAGCUUGAAACCCAAAGGACUUGACGGUGUCUCAGACCCACCUAGAGGAGCCUGUUCUAGAACCGAUAUUCCUCGUUAAACCUCACCACCCCUUGUCUCCACAGCCUAUAUACCGCCGUCGCAAGCUUACCCUGUGAAGGAUCAACAGUAAGCAAAAUGGAUAAUGUCCAAAACGUCAGGUCGAGGUGUAGCUUACGGGGUGGGAAGAAAUGGGCUACAUUUUCUGACUUAGAAUAAACGAACGGCAUUAUGAAAUUAAUCCCUAACGGUGGAUUUAGAAGUAAAAA